ACUGAGACACGGUCCAAACUCCUACGGGAGGCAGCAGUGAGGAAUAUUGGUCAAUGGCCGGGAGGCUGAACCAGCCAAGUCGCGUGAGGGAAUAAGGCCCUACGGGUCGUAAACCUCUUUUGUCAGGGAGCAAGGCCGCCCACGUGUGGACGGAAGGAGAGUACCUGGAGAAAAAGCAUCGGCUAACUCCGUGCCAGCAGCCGCGGUAAUACGGAGGAUGCGAGCGUUAUCCGGAUUUAUUGGGUUUAAAGGGUGCGUAGGCGGCCUGCCAAGUCAGCAGUAAAAUUGCGGGGCUCAACCCCGUACAGCCGUUGAAACUGCCGGGCUCGAGUGGGCGAGAAGUAUGCGGAAUGCGUGGUGUAGCGGUGAAAUGCAUAGAUAUCACGCAGAACCCCGAUUGCGAAGGCAGCAUACCGGCGCCCUACUGACGCUGAGGCACGAAAGUGCGGGGAUCAAACAGGAUUAGAUACCCUGGUAGUCCGCACAGUAAACGAUGAAUGCUAGCUGUCCGGGGGGAUUGACCCCUGG
This 528-nucleotide ribosomal RNA is filed under the name uncultured bacterium. RNAcentral describes it as "bacterial SSU rRNA". It matches the Rfam family "Bacterial small subunit ribosomal RNA", at positions 318 to 842 of the family's 1533-position model. The record is from RNAcentral.